CCUAGACAAAUAUGAAGAGAAAGGUCUCUGAUUCAAUUCUCUGUGAAGUUCAAGGACUUUCUCAGUCAAAUAUGGGAAGAUGUGAAAGGAUACAUAGAAAUCUUGGAGGACAAAUUGACGAGAGUCUUAAAAGACACAGAUAUGAAGAUAAACAAGAGGAAAAAAGAGCCAAACAUAGUUCAUUUUGUAGUUUAAAGGACUGCAGACUUCCUGAUAUCUUUCAAACUGUUGUGUUUUUUGGUAUAAAUGUAAUAAUGCAUUAUCAUCUUAUUUGUAUAGGCAUACAUCCUGAAAAUCUUGUUGGUACCUUUUAUCUCCAUUAAUGCAACCGCUAUUUAUAAAACAUUGUUGUGAUUGUAGUUUUAUAUGUGAGUUUAUUAGUUAACUAGUGCGUAGUAAUUGCAUAUAUGAAUUAUUUUAUACCAUAUCUAUCAAUCUUGGUCUUUUUAAUUAAGAAAUAAUUUUUAAAACCUUGCUCUUUCAAUCCUAGUACAUCUAUUUUAAUUACUUUGCAUAGUUUAUAAGUUUAAGUAAUGCCAUUUUAUUUCCACAUUUGAAUUUUACAACAAAAAAUACAUAAAGAUCAGAUUUAUAUCUGUUUUAACAGUUUAUUUAAUGGAAUAUUAUAUUUAUGUUUAAUUUGUAAUAUGCACUUUGUCUCAUUUUUUUUUCAAUUUGACACAUUUUCUUUUAUUAAUCAUCAAAUUUCAACAAAUGUUGGAAACAAACUUACAUAAAAACUUUUCAAAUGUAUCAAAAUUCUGUGUUGUAAAAUCUUAAAGAUUUUCUUUUUCAGUAUUUUUCCCAAUAUGUUUAAGAAAUCUGUAGCAUAAUUUUUGCUUGUAGAUUUUAUUUCGGGAUUUUUCCCGAAAUGGGUAAAAAAUCUAUGCAACAAGUGUGUGCCUGAUAAUAGAUUUAUAUUUUCGGGAUUUUUCCCGAAAUGUGAAAAUAAAUUAUUAGUCAUGAGUUCUAGCAUAUACGUUGGGUUUUCGGGAUAAAUCCCGAAGUAUUUAAAAUCUUGCAUAUAGAUUUUUUUUUUUUUUUAUUUUUCCCGAUAUGUUUGAAGAAAUCUGUAACAUAAAUUUUUGUAAAUUUGGUUUCAGGAUUUUACCUGAAAUGGUUAAAGAAAUCUAUUCAACAAGUGAUUUAGUUUUUCGGGACUUUUCCCGAAAUUUGAAAAGAAAUCAUUAGUCAUAAGUUUUAAGUUAUAGCAUAUUUAUAUGUUGGGUAUUCAGGAUAAUUCCUGAAAUGUUUGAAGACAUAUAUGCUUUAUACAUUUUACAUUUAGAUUAUUUUUUCGGGAUUUUUCCCGAAAUGUGUUUAAGAUCUGUUUGUCACAUAGCUAUUCUACCAAAAGUUUUAAUUAAUGUUGAAAGUGAUUUCGGGGAAAUUCCCGAAUAAAAAGUUGUCACAUACAUUUUUACCACAAAUAUUUUGGGAAAUUCCCCGAACACUAAAUGUAAGUUUUAUCAAUUAUAAGAAUAAAAGCAUGGAAGAUUGUAAAAA
Long non-coding RNA from Mytilus californianus (California mussel), 1506 nucleotides. RefSeq lists it as uncharacterized. NCBI's taxonomy places the organism in Eukaryota, Metazoa, Mollusca, Bivalvia, Mytilida, Mytilidae. The record is from RefSeq and is a predicted model, not a curated record. The transcript has 2 exons.